CCUACGGGUGGCAGCAGUGGGGAAUAUUGGACAAUGGGCGAAAGCCUGAUCCAGCCAUGCCGCGUGUGUGAAGAAGGCCUUCGGGUUGUAAAGCACUUUCAGUGGGGAAGAAAGCCUUGGGGCUAAUACCCUCGAGGAAGGACAUCACCAACAGAAGAAGCACCGGCUAACUCCGUGCCAGCAGCCGCGGUAAUACGGAGGGUGCGAGCGUUAAUCGGAAUUACUGGGCGUAAAGCGCGCGUAGGCGGUCUGAUAAGCCGGUUGUGAAAGCCCCGGGCUCAACCUGGGAACGGCAUCCGGAACUGUCAGGCUAGAGUGCAGGAGAGGAAGGUAGAAUUCCCGGUGUAGCGGUGAAAUGCGUAGAGAUCGGGAGGAAUACCAGUGGCGAAGGCGGCCUUCUGGACUGACACUGACGCUGAGGUGCGAAAGCGUGGGUAGCAAACAGGAUUAGAUACCCCGGUAGUC
Molecule: ribosomal RNA, 465 nt
Filed under: Vreelandella stevensii
Lineage: Bacteria; Pseudomonadati; Pseudomonadota; Gammaproteobacteria; Oceanospirillales; Halomonadaceae
Description: partial 16S ribosomal RNA
Rfam family: Bacterial small subunit ribosomal RNA
Source: RNAcentral